RNAcentral lists this ribosomal RNA (435 nucleotides) under uncultured bacterium. RNAcentral describes it as "bacterial SSU rRNA". It matches the Rfam family "Bacterial small subunit ribosomal RNA", at positions 29 to 507 of the family's 1533-position model. The record is from RNAcentral.
AACGAACGCUGGCGGCAGGGCCUAACACAUGCAAGUCGAGCGAGACCUUCGGGUCUAGCGGCGGACGGGUUAGUAACGCGUGGGAACGUGCCCUUCUCUGCGGAAUAGCCACUGGAAACGGUGAGUAAUACCGCAUACGCCCUUCCGGGGGAAAAGAUUUAUCGGAGAAGGAUCGGCCCGCGUUAGAUUAGAUAGUUGGUGGGUAACGGCCUACCAAGUCUACGAUCUAUAGCUGGUUUUAGAGGAUGAUCAGCAACACUGGGACUGAGACACGGCCCAGACUCCUACGGGAGGCAGCAGUGGGGAAUCUUAGACAAUGGGCGCAAGCCUGAUCUAGCCAUGCCGCGUGUGUGAUGAAGGUCUUAGGAUCGUAAAGCACUUUCGCCAGGGAUGAUAAUGACAGUACCUGGUAAAGAAACCCCGGCUAACUCCGUG